UGGUUGGUAAAUAUAAUUCAGUGACUGCUAUUUUCAAAAGAGAUCUGCCUGUUUUAAUAAUUGUGAAAUGCAUUAGCCAUUCUUUGCAUUUAUACGCGGAAAAAGCGGCUGAAUUAUUACCACGCCA
Molecule: microRNA precursor, 127 nt
Filed under: Spodoptera frugiperda (fall armyworm)
Lineage: Eukaryota; Metazoa; Arthropoda; Insecta; Lepidoptera; Noctuidae
Description: microRNA sfr-mir-10479 precursor
Source: miRBase by way of RNAcentral